AAGUCGUAGCAAGGUUUCCGUAGGUGAACCUGCGGGAGGAUCAUUACAAAUUAUGGCGAACUUCGCGUCUCGCGAGGUUUUGCGUCCAAACUUUAUUUAAAACAUCCCACUCUUUAAAAAAAAGUUAUCUAAUGAUAAAUAAAAAGAUCA
This 150-nucleotide unclassified non-coding RNA is filed under the name plant metagenome. RNAcentral describes it as "partial contains small subunit ribosomal RNA and internal transcribed spacer 1". The stretch from base 1 to 46 matches the Rfam family "Eukaryotic small subunit ribosomal RNA", at positions 1786 to 1831 of the family's 1831-position model. The record is from RNAcentral.